UCCCUGGUGAUCCACUGGUUAGGACUCUGCACUUCCACUGCAGGGAGCACGGAUUCAAUCCCUGGUCAGGGAA
Molecule: non-coding RNA, 73 nt
Organism: Ovis aries (sheep)
Lineage: Eukaryota; Metazoa; Chordata; Mammalia; Artiodactyla; Bovidae
Source: Rfam